RNAcentral lists this small nuclear RNA (164 nucleotides) under Aotus nancymaae (Ma's night monkey). Its description in RNAcentral is "U1 spliceosomal RNA (ENSANAG00000019012.1)". It matches the Rfam family "U1 spliceosomal RNA". From Rfam's summary of the family: U1 is a small nuclear RNA (snRNA) component of the spliceosome (involved in pre-mRNA splicing). Lineage: Eukaryota; Metazoa; Chordata; Mammalia; Primates; Aotidae. The record is from Rfam by way of RNAcentral.
AUACUUACCUGGCAGGGGAGGUACCAUGAUCACGAAGGUGGUUUUCCCAGGGCAAGGCUUAUCCAUUGCACUCCAGAUGUGCUGACCCCUGCGAUUUCCCCAAAUGUGGGAAACUCGACUGCAUAAUUUGUGGUAGCAGGGGACUUCAUGCACGCUUUCCCCUG